RNAcentral lists this microRNA precursor (200 nucleotides) under Brachypodium distachyon (stiff brome). Its description in RNAcentral is "MIR1435 microRNA precursor family". It matches the Rfam family "MIR1435 microRNA precursor family". The record is from Rfam by way of RNAcentral. Lineage: Eukaryota; Viridiplantae; Streptophyta; Magnoliopsida; Poales; Poaceae.
UAAACUUGUCUAAAGUCAAACUUCUUCAAAUUUGACCAAGAUUAUAGGAAAAUAUACUAAUAUCUACAAUCUCAAGUAAGUAUACUACGAAGAUAUAUAUCAUAACAGAUUUAAUAAAACUAAGUUAGAGUGAUAGAUGUUGGUAUAUUUUUCUACAAACUUGGUCAAACUUUAAGAAGUUUGACUUAUGACAAAUCUAG